Molecule: ribosomal RNA, 253 nt
Filed under: uncultured bacterium
Lineage: Bacteria
Description: partial 16S ribosomal RNA
Rfam family: Bacterial small subunit ribosomal RNA
Source: RNAcentral
UACGAAGGGGGCUAGCGUUGCUCGGAUUGACUGGGCGUAAAGGGCGCGUAGGCGGAUAGUACAGUCAGGCGUGAAAUUCCUGGGCUCAACCUGGGGGCUGCGUUUGAUACGUAUUGUCUGGAGUUCGGAGGAGGGUCGUGGAAUUCCCAGUGUAGAGGUGAAAUUCGUAGAUAUUGGGAAGAACACCGGUGGCGAAGGCGGCGACCUGGUCCGAUACUGACGCUGAGGCGCGAAAGCGUGGGGAGCAAACAGG